UACGUAGGGGGCAAGCGUUGUCCGGAAUUAUUGGGCGUAAAGCGCGCGCAGGCGGUUUCUUAAGUCAGGUGUGAAAGCCCACGGCUCAACCGUGGAGGGCCAUCUGAAACUGGGAGGCUUGAGUGCAGAAGAGGAGAGUGGAAUUCCACGUGUAGCGGUGAAAUGCGUAGAGAUGUGGAGGAACACCAGUGGCGAAGGCGACUCUCUGGUCUGUAACUGACGCUGAGGCGCGAAAGCGUGGGGAGCAAACAGG
Molecule: ribosomal RNA, 253 nt
Filed under: uncultured bacterium
Lineage: Bacteria
Description: partial 16S ribosomal RNA
Rfam family: Bacterial small subunit ribosomal RNA
Source: RNAcentral